GACGAACGCUGGCGGCGUGCCUAAUACAUGCAAGUCGAGCGGGUUGGUCCUUCGGGAUCAGCUAGCGGCGGACGGGUGAGUAACACGUAGGCAACCUGCCUGUAAGCCUGGGAUAACUACCGGAAACGGUAGCUAAGACCGGAUAACUGGUUCCGAUGCAUGUCGGGACUAUGAAACACGGCGCAAGCUGUGGCUUACGGAUGGGCCUGCGGCGCAUUAGCUAGUUGGUGGGGUAACGGCUCACCAAGGCGACGAUGCGUAGCCGACCUGAGAGGGUGAUCGGCCACACUGGGACUGAAACACGGCCCAGACUCCUACGGGAGGCAGCAGUAGGGAAUCUUCCGCAAUGGACGCAGGUCUGACGGAGCAACGCCGCGUGAGUGAUGAAGGUUUUCGGAUCGUAAAGCUCUGUUGCCAGGGAAGAACGCCUUGGAGAGUAACUGCUCUGAGGGUGACGGUACCUGAGAAGAAAGCCCCGGCUAACUACGUGCCAGCAGCCGCGGUAAUACGUAGGGGGCAAGCGUUGUCCGGAAUUAUUGGGCGUAAAGCGCGCGCAGGCGGUCUUUUAAGUCUGGUGUUUAAGCCCGGGGCUCAACCCCGGAUCGCACCGGAAACUGGGAGACUUGAGUGCAGGAGAGGAAAGCGGAAUUCCACGUGUAGCGGUGAAAUGCGUAGAGAUGUGGAGGAACACCAGUGGCGAAGGCGGCUUUCUGGACUGUAACUGACGCUGAGGCGCGAAAGCGUGGGGAGCAAACAGGAUUAGAUACCCUGGUAGUCCACGCCGUAAACGAUGAGUGCUAGGUGUUAGGGGUUUCGAUACCCUUGGUGCCGAAGUAAACACAAUAAGCACUCCGCCUGGGGAGUACGCUCGCAAGAGUG
Molecule: ribosomal RNA, 879 nt
Filed under: uncultured bacterium
Lineage: Bacteria
Description: bacterial SSU rRNA
Rfam family: Bacterial small subunit ribosomal RNA
Source: RNAcentral